UACGUAGGUGGCGAGCGUUGUCCGGAUUGACUGGGCGUAAAGCGCACGCAGGCGGGGGUGCGCGUGGGGUGUGAAAUCUGGCUGCUUAACGGCCAGGCGCCAUCCCAUACGGCACGCCUGGAGCCUUGCAGAGGUCGGUGGAAUUGCCGGUGUAGUGGUGAAAUGCGUAGAGAUCGGGAGGAACACCCAGGGGGAAACCAGCCGACUGGGCAAGUGCUGACGCUGAGGUGCGAGAGCGUGGGGAGCGAACCGG
Molecule: ribosomal RNA, 253 nt
Filed under: uncultured bacterium
Lineage: Bacteria
Description: partial 16S ribosomal RNA
Rfam family: Bacterial small subunit ribosomal RNA
Source: RNAcentral